Molecule: ribosomal RNA, 267 nt
Filed under: uncultured soil bacterium
Lineage: Bacteria
Description: partial 16S ribosomal RNA
Rfam family: Bacterial small subunit ribosomal RNA
Source: RNAcentral
AGAAUCAACGCUGGCGGCGUGCCUAACACAUGCAAGUCGAACGCGGUUACCCCGCAAGGGGUGACUGAGUGGCAAACGGGUGAGUAACGCGUGGGUGACCUACCUUCGAGUGGGGGAUAACGUUUCGAAAGGAACGCUAAUACCGCAUGACAUCCUGCUUUUAGACAGGCGGAGAUCAAAGCCGGGGAUCGCAAGACCUGGCGCUUGGAGAGGGGCCCGCGUCCGAUUAGCUAGUUGGUGGGGUAACGGCUCACCAAGGCGACGAUC